GCUGACGUAUUAAAAAUACACUGUAUGUGCUGGUGUACAUCUAAUAAGUUAUGGGUAAGUUUUGUAUAAGUUAAGAGUACGUUGAAGCACGCUGGUAUACGUAAUGGGCUGGGCAACUUGCAAAAUUUU
Long non-coding RNA from Thalassophryne amazonica, 129 nucleotides. RefSeq lists it as uncharacterized. NCBI's taxonomy places the organism in Eukaryota, Metazoa, Chordata, Actinopteri, Batrachoidiformes, Batrachoididae. The record is from RefSeq and is a predicted model, not a curated record. The transcript has 5 exons.